Molecule: long non-coding RNA, 1277 nt
Organism: Oncorhynchus tshawytscha (Chinook salmon)
Lineage: Eukaryota; Metazoa; Chordata; Actinopteri; Salmoniformes; Salmonidae
Source: Ensembl
GGUUACUAUCUCUCUCUGUGUAGGGUUAGGAUACUAUCUCUCUCUGUAGAGGGUUAGGAUACUAUCUCUCUGUAGGGGGUUAGGAUACUAUCUCUCUCUGUAGGGGGUUAGGAUACUAUCUCUCUCUGUAGAGGGUUAGGAUACUAUCUCUCUGUAGAGUGUUAGGAUACUAUCUCUCUGUAGAGGGUUGGGAUACUAUCUCUCUGUAGAGGGUUAGGAUACUAUCUCUCUGUAGAGGGUUAGGAUACUAUCUCUCUCUGUAGAGGGUUAGGAUACUAUCUCUCUCUGUAGAGGGUUAGGAUACUAUCUCUCUGUAGAGGGUUAGGAUACCAUCUCUCUGUAGGGGGUUAGGAUACUAUCUCUCUGUAGAGGGUUAGGAUACUAUCUCUCUCUGUAGAGGGUUAGGAUACUAUCUCUCUGUAGGGGGUUAGGAUACUAUCUCUCUGUAGAGGGUUAGGAUACUAUCUCUCUGUAGAGGGUUAGGAUACUAUCUCUCUGUAGAGGGUUAGGAUACUAUCUCUCUGUAGAGGGUUAGGAUACUCACUGAGGGAGAAGUGGACAGAGAGGUCCCCCGAUACCGUGCCAGAACACCAAACAUCAACAACCAUAAUGAUAAGGAUAAAGCCUAAAUUAAAGCCAGGGUUCAAGCUGGACACAUUGCCUUUGGAUGAGCUGUGAAGCAGAUUACGCUUUCUGUUUCUGAUAUUUUGACUUUGCAGAUGUUCUAUGUUAAUGUCAGCCAGUUUCAAAGUUUUUUUUUGCACGGUAAUGAUUGGCAUUGUAAAUAAUAAUGUCUUGUGGGUACUAAGUUAUUGGGCAUUCUGAAGAGGUAAUAUCAGCUGUUGGGAGUAUUUUUAAACCUGAAAUUCAGAGUAAAUGUGCAUGUUUCUGCUGUCUGUGGGAAGUCCUUCAACAUCAGCAGUUUGGAAGAUAAUGCAUCUGUAUGAACACAUUUGGUAUGUAGUGCUGUUAUUUGUUAAGUAGAGUUCUGUAAGGGGGUGAUGUGGGAUUUCACUGAAAGGUGUAACAUUUUUUACCUGCAUGAAAAAUAUCUGCUUUUAAUUUUUUUUAAAGUGAUGUUGCAAUUAAUGUUCAUUUUUUGAAAAUAUUAAUUUCUUUCUCUCUGCAUUGUUGGGAAGAGCCAUAAGCAUUUCUCUGUUAAGCAUGUGACAAAAUUAUAUUUUAUUUGAAGAGUGUUUGUCAUAGUAGCAAUUUUUUUUGACUUUUUGAAGAACCCCUUUCAUUCUCGGGGGUACACAGAAAAGGUACGGAUUAAA